Molecule: long non-coding RNA, 257 nt
Organism: Cyprinus carpio (common carp)
Lineage: Eukaryota; Metazoa; Chordata; Actinopteri; Cypriniformes; Cyprinidae
Source: Ensembl
GAGGAACAGUUCAUCCUAGGUUUGUGAACUGGAUCAAUUGAUUUUUUUGAAAAGACCUAGGAUCCCUUCAGCAAUUGUCAGAGGUGGAGGACUGUGAGAGAGUGAGUGGGGUGUGAUGGCGAAGAACAGAUGGAUCCAACCCUAGAGAACCUUUUCUGCUGCGGUUUCUCUUUUCCAUACAACUUCCAGGGGGCUUCCAAAGGGGCUUCUUUUAAUUGAUCCCCAGUGUGAGCGAUCGAGGAGGAAGAGAGGGAACC